CCUACGGGAGGCAGCAGUGAGGAAUAUUGGUCAAUGGACGCAAGUCUGAACCAGCCAUGUCGCGUGCAGGAAGACGGCUCUAUGAGUUGUAAACUGCUUUUGUACGGGGAUAAACGCCGCUACGUGUAUAUGUCUGCAAGUACCGUACGAAUAAGGACCGGCUAAUUCCGUGCCAGCAGCCGCGGUAAUACGGAGGACCCAAGCGUUAUCCGGAUUCAUUGGGGUUAAAGGGUGCGUAGGCGGUCGGAUAAGUUAGAGGUGAAAUCCCGGGGCUCAACUCCGGAAUUGCCUCUGAUACUGGUCGGCUAGAGUGUAGUUGCGGUAGGCGGAAUGUAUGGUGUAGCGGUGAAAUGCUUAGAGAUCA
Molecule: ribosomal RNA, 364 nt
Filed under: uncultured bacterium
Lineage: Bacteria
Description: partial 16S ribosomal RNA
Rfam family: Bacterial small subunit ribosomal RNA
Source: RNAcentral